Molecule: non-coding RNA, 91 nt
Organism: Ricinus communis (castor bean)
Lineage: Eukaryota; Viridiplantae; Streptophyta; Magnoliopsida; Malpighiales; Euphorbiaceae
Source: Rfam
AUGGAAUGGUGAUAUUUUCCCCAGAUUAUCAAUGCUGAAUAAACUGUGCGAUCUUUCUCUUUUGAGAAUUCAAGCCAGGAUUCUGAUCCGU